UACGUAGGGUGCGAGCGUUGUCCGGAAUUACUGGGCGUAAAGAGCUCGUAGGUGGUUUGUCGCGUUGUUCGUGAAAACUCACAGCUCAACUGUGGGCGUGCGGGCGAUACGGGCAGACUGGAGUACUGCAGGGGAGACUGGAAUUCCUGGUGUAGCGGUGGAAUGCGCAGAUAUCAGGAGGAACACCGGUGGCGAAGGCGGGG
Molecule: ribosomal RNA, 203 nt
Filed under: uncultured bacterium
Lineage: Bacteria
Description: partial 16S ribosomal RNA
Rfam family: Bacterial small subunit ribosomal RNA
Source: RNAcentral